Molecule: long non-coding RNA, 2024 nt
Organism: Aphis gossypii (cotton aphid)
Lineage: Eukaryota; Metazoa; Arthropoda; Insecta; Hemiptera; Aphididae
Exons: 4
Source: RefSeq, a predicted model, not a curated record
UAUAUGUGAGUAAUUACCGCUCUGUUGUACAUUAGGUGUCAAGUGAGCAACUAUUAUAGCUAUGUUAAAUUUUAAUUCAAUGAUAUAUUAUCGUUGUACACGAAAUAAACAAAGCCCUCAUCAUGGCCAGUAAAUAUUAGAGUAUUAGGUAUACAUAUAGUAUUACGAUUCAAAUUACGAAAACCGAGAACGAGUAAUUCACAAUAUUAUAUAUUAAUAUAUAUCUGUUGAUGAUUGCACAAUUGUUCUUAUUUUACCCUUUACAUUUUAAAGAGAACUCUUCAAAAUAUACUAUUGAGAUAUAGAUUGUGAGAACAAAACGGUUAAAAUUAUAGUUUGUAAAUGUAAUAAUAUACGUGUAUAAUAUUCCACAUACUGAACACGCCGAAUUUGAAUGUGUCUGAGACAUUUCUCAUUUUCAUCCGGUUUUCAAGGUCUACCCUCAUCGUGCUCACCUACUCCGUGAAAAGCCAUACCGAAUAGGCCUUGGAGAGUGCCUGCGCAGCCACUCGGUGCUACUUUUGCCGCAUAUGAAAUGCCAGCCACAAAAGCCAAGGUAAACGUUAUACCAUUGCUCAGCUCGACUGGUAAUACCCACAGUGGAUCUUUAAUGAUCGAAUACAGGAAAAAUCUUAUAGAAAACAAUGCGAAUGAUAUUGAAAAAGCUGUCAUGUGUCCAAUGCGUUUGAGUAUAUAUCCUAUACAGUAAAAUACAAUUUUAAAAUAUAAUAAUUACACAUAAUUACAACAUGACGCAAUAAAGUAUAUAAUUUUUCAUUAAAAUUUGUACAUUUUUUUGUCAUUACAGAUCAUAAAAAACAUCGUACUUACAUAAUCUUAAUUAAAUGCAAAAACAGAUAUAAAUAGGAAUUUCUCCAAUAAGACAUUGCAGUGUCACCGACAAACCUUCUAUAGUCUUGAUAUACGGUAAUCGUUCUCUAUGAUGAAUGUUUGCUAAGUCUUCAAUGUACCUAUUGAAAAACAAUAAAGGUAAAUAUAUUAUAAUUUAUAGUUAACAUUUUAUAAUAAUGGAAUAUUAAUACUUACAAAAAUAAAUAAAUCCAAAUAUAUGCGGAGAAAAUGCCAGAAAACACUGCCCAUACAAGGUAUGAACAGACUUUAACGUCACAUAAUAUUUUGAAUAUACCUUCACUCAUGCUUUUGGAUGUACAAGCUUGAUUUUGCUGAAAAAUAAAUAAACACGGAGAGAUACCUUGGGAAAACCUGUGAAUAGCAGACAUCUAUUUGAAUCCACCUAUAUGAGGACGUCACACCUGCAUAUAUUGUAUCCGUCUUACACAUGUACGAUAUCGACAAAACGCGUUUAACACAGUCUGAGUAGAACUCGCUCAAUUUUGGUUUUAGAGUAAAUAUAUCUAUUAUAAAAUUAAAUAGUUAAGAGCUGCGUUUUUUCCAUUAUUCCUUAUAUAACGUUCAUUAUAUCGUUUAGAAGUAGCAAAAAUGUCAACAUUUUUAAAUGACCUAUAACUUUUCAAAAUUAAAAUUUUUUUUUUAAACACAGUGAAUUUACUUUAGAACCAAAAUUGAGUAAGUUUUACUUAAACGAGUUUUAUCUAUGUCGUACGGGUGUAAAACGGAGACAACAUAUAUGGGCGUAGAGUCCUUUUCAUUUUAAAAUAAUAACAAACCACCUAAUUGGAAUCAACAGCUCACACUAAAUAAAGUAACGAUAAUUAACUAAUCGGAGGCACGUGACAACCGUAAACACAAAUAACCUAUACUAACACACAUUAACAAAACUAAACGAAGACGAGGAAGAAAAAACAUCAUUAAAAAAAAAUAUUUUAAGUAUUACUUAAUAAUACAACCCCGACAUUAGUCAAUUAUUAUUAAAAUUUUAAAGUGGUAGGUAUUCAAAAACUUGUUUUUACAAUAAUUUAUAUGCUGUACAAAUAUAUUAACUACAGUAAUGUUGAUAAAUAAUUUUUGUUUUGUAUACCUAUACAGUAUGAUAAACGUAUAUAGAUUACGGUAUCAUCUAUGUAUCUUUACAUUUUCGUAUA